GACGAACGCUGGCGGCGUGCUUAACACAUGCAAGUCGAACGAUUUAGUCGUCGGUCAUCAGACGUCAGACGUCAGGGGAACGAAUGGAACUGAAGAAAGAACUCGCUUUAGCGAAAUCUAUUCCGAAACCCUUACGACCGAUGUCCGAUGACUGACGACCGAAUAGUGGCGGACGGGUGAGUAACGCGUGGGCAACCUACCCAUAAGAGGGGGAUAACAGCUGGAAACGGCUGCUAAUACCGCAUAAGCUUUUUAGGACACAUGUUUUAGAAAGUAAAGGAGGCUUUAGCUUCCGCUUAUGGAUGGGCCCGCGUCUGAUUAGCUAGUUGGUAGGGUAACGGCCUACCAAGGCAACGAUCAGUAGCCGGCCUGAGAGGGUGGACGGCCACACUGGGACUGAGACACGGCCCAGACUCCUACGGGUGGCAGCAGUAGGGAAUAUUAGUAAUGGGCGAAAGCCUGAACUAGCAACGCCGCGUGUGCGAAGAAGGCCUUCGGGUCGUAAAGCACUUUUGAGAGGAU
Molecule: ribosomal RNA, 522 nt
Filed under: uncultured bacterium
Lineage: Bacteria
Description: bacterial SSU rRNA
Rfam family: Bacterial small subunit ribosomal RNA
Source: RNAcentral